This 371-nucleotide long non-coding RNA is filed under the name Bos taurus (domestic cattle). RNAcentral describes it as "long non-coding RNA NONBTAT004994". Lineage: Eukaryota; Metazoa; Chordata; Mammalia; Artiodactyla; Bovidae. The record is from RNAcentral.
AGGCUAACCUAGGAAGGAGCUCUCUGCUGCCCUGGUAGGUGAAGACUCAGAGAAGUGAAGGCAGUGGCCACAGUCGAACCAGCAUCUAGCUGACUGUGGAUCCCCUGCCCCUGACACCAUACGUGUUUCUUUUCUCCCCAAAAAGAUCGCUGUUCCAGCCAAGAGAGACAGACGACCGAAGCACUCAAAGGAAACCAAUCAGAAACUGCCAAGCCGCAGCAACACAGCUUUGCUUACCAAGGGAAUUCCCUGAUUACCCUGGAGAACAAGAAGCAUCACAGAUCCUCCCUUCUUGGGAGCCACACCUGAGCCUUUUAAAGGCGUCCGGCUAGCAUGGGGGGCAGAGCUCUAUCGAAACUGACUAUCACCCU